UGCCCUCCAGCCCUACGCCUUGACCCGCUUUCCUGCGUCUCUCAGCCUACCUGACCUUGUCUUUACCUCUGUGGGCAGCUCCCUUGUGAUCUGCUUAGUUCCCACCCCCCUUUAAGAAUUCAAUAGAGAAGCCAGACGCAAAACUACAGAUAUCGUAUGAGUCCAGUUUUGUGAAGUGCCUAGAAUAGUCAAAAUUCACAGAGACAGAAGCAGUGGUCGCCAGGAAUGGGGAAGCAAGGCGGAGUUGGGCAGCUCGUGUUCAAUGGGUAGAGUUUCAGGCUGGGGUGAUGGAAGGGUGCUGGAAAUGAGUGGUAGUGAUGGCGGCACAACAGUGUGAAUCUACUUAAUCCCACUGAACUGUAUGCUGAAAAAUGGUUUAGACGGUGAAUUUUAGGUUAUGUAUGUUUUACCACAAUUUUUAAAAAGCUAGUGAAAAGCUGGUAAAAAGAAAGAAAAGAGGCUUUUUUAAAAAGUUAAAUAUAUAAAAAGAGCAUCAUCAGUCCAAAGUCCAGCAGUUGUCCCUCCUGGAAUCCGUUGGCUUGCCUCCGGCAUUUUUGGCCCUUGCCUUUUAGGGUUGCCAGAUUAAAAGACAGGAUGCCCAGCUAGUUUGAAUUUUAGAUAAACAACGAAUAAUUUCGUAGCAUAAAUAUGUCCCAAGCUUAGUUUGGGACAUACUUAUGCUAAAAAACAUUAUUGGUUGUUUAUCUGAGAUUCAGAAUUAAGCAUUUUAUAUUUUAUUUGCUGCCUCUGGCCACCCUACUCUCUUCCUAACACUCUCUCCCUCUCCCAGUUUUGUCCGCCUUCCCUGCCUCCUCUUCUGGGGGAGUUAGAUCGAGUUGUAACAAGAACAUGCCACUGUCUCGCUGGCUGCAGCGUGUGGUCCCCUUACCAGAGUGAGGAUGCGAAGAGAAGGUGGCUGUCUGCAAACCAGGAAGAGAGCCCUCACCGGGAACCCGUCCAGCUGCCACCUUGAACUUGGACUUCCAAGCCUCCAGAACUGUGAGGGAUAAAUGUGCUGCAUCAGAGUCCCAGGUGGGAAGAAGGCAAGCAUACACAAAAAUGGUAAAAGGCAGAAAGGAGCCCAGUCUCGUUCUUUUUAAGAAGUUUUCCUAAGAAUCUCCACCCAGCGACUUGCUCUCACAUCUUCUUGGCCAGCACUGGACCACACAACUCCUUCUAGAUACAGAGGAGUCCUAGGAUUCUAUGAGAAAGAAGGGGAGGGUGGGCAAAGGGCAGCCAGCUGUGCAGCAUCUGCUGGAGACACCUAACCCUUGGUGGAGGGGUUGUGGUGCUGGGAGAAGGCUUUCUGGACGGUGUGACAGCAGAGAUAAACUUAAAGGCCAAGUAGGAGUUACCCUGGUGAAGCAGGGCAGGGUUACAAGCAUUCCAGCAACAUGAAGCAGCAGGAGUGUUUUAAUUAAAAGAAGGCAGUUGCUGUAACCAACUAUAAACAAAUAAAGGCUUAAACACAAUGGAAGUUUAUUUCUCACUAAGGGAACAUCCAAAUCCAUGAUACUUUAAGUCAGGGACCCAGGUUCCUCCCAUCUAUGGUUCUGCCAUCACUAAUCUGGGUCUUCCACAAUUGCCGUGCUCCUUGGAGGUGGGAAGAGCAGGCGGAGGACACGUGGGAGGUUUUAGGGACAAGCCUGGAGGCAGCAUGCGUCACUCCCAUGCAGAGUCCAUUGGCCAAUGCUGGCUCCGAUGGCCACAUCUCACUGCAGGGGCAGCUGGGAAAUACAGUCUGGCUGUCUACCCAGGAGGAAGAGCAGCCAGUUUCUGCUGCUGAUGAUCAGGAGGUGGAGAAAAUGUUCAGUCAGGCAGGGAGUGGGAAUAGACAAGACCACAAGCAGCUUGGUGCCUCUGAAAGGGAGAGGGGUGGAGGGGAGACUAGAGAGGUGGGUAGGAAUACUGGAUUCCACUGACCACGUGCUGGAUGUCACGCUUAGCCCUCCUGCUCUGUGCCGGGUUAGGCACCUGGUGUUUUACGUACAUAAUCUCAAUUCUGUGAGGGCAUCCGACCUGUGGGAAAAGAGCUGUUUGUUUCAAAUGCCAGUCCUGCUUCCUAACAAGUGUUUAGAGCUUAAUCGUGUUCAAAAUACAUAUACAAUGUUUAAUACUUACAAGAAUUUGGUGGGGAAAAUAUUACCAUCUUUCCCUUUUGUGAUUGGAGAAAAAUGAGGCUUUGAAGGGUUUAAGAACUUGCCCAAGGUCGGCCAGGUGCAGUGGCUCAUGUCUAUAAUCCCAACACUUUGGGAGGCUGAGG
Molecule: long non-coding RNA, 2263 nt
Organism: Homo sapiens (human)
Lineage: Eukaryota; Metazoa; Chordata; Mammalia; Primates; Hominidae
Product: MIR1302-2 host gene
Exons: 3
Source: RefSeq, a predicted model, not a curated record